ACGGAAGGCAGCAGUGGGGAAUCUUGGGCAAUGGGGGAAACCCUGACCCAGCGACGCCGUGUGGGGGAUGAAGGCUUUCGGGUUGUAAACCCCUGUUAGGUGGGACGAAUGCUUUUUCGCAAAUAGCGAAAAGGUUUGACGGUACCACCAGAGAAAGCCCCGGCUAACUCCGUGCCAGCAGCCGCGGUAAUACGGAGGGGGCGAGUGUUGUUCGGAAUUACUGGGCGUAAAGGGCGCGCAGGCGGCUUGGCAAGUCGAGUGUGAAAUCCCUUGGCUUAACUGAGGAAUGGCGCUCGAAACUACCUCGCUGGAGGGCGGGAGAGGGAAGUGGAACUCUCGGUGUAGGGGUGAAAUCUGUAGAUAUCGAGAGGAACACCGGUGGCGAAGGCGGCUUCCUGGCCCGUACCUGACGCUGAGGCGCGAAAGCGUGGGGAGCAAACAGGAUUAGAUACCCUGGUA
This 459-nucleotide ribosomal RNA is filed under the name uncultured bacterium. RNAcentral's name for it is "bacterial SSU rRNA". It matches the Rfam family "Bacterial small subunit ribosomal RNA", at positions 341 to 792 of the family's 1533-position model. The record is from RNAcentral.